GAUUCCCCUCACAGAUAUUUUCCUGUCUCUUCUGAAGGGCCAGUCUUCUCGGGAGUUGAAGUGAGUGGUUGCUAAGUGUGGAGUCAGCAGUAGACUGGGAACAGGAGGGCAGAGGGCCUGGCAAGAGCCCAUGGGGGUUUCCCGGGGUUUCCAAAGAGGCUUCCAGUUGGGUGUCCACCAGAUCACACCCACAGAAACCACUUCUUCCCUCCAGAAACUUCCCAGACCUCUUACCACCACACAAGGGAUUUAAGAACUGAACAAUCUUUUGGGGAUGUCCAGUAAAGGGAAUGGUGAGGCGGCUCCAAAAGGAAACAAAGGGAGUGUUUAGCUGGUUGGUGAGCUCAGGUAUCAGUCCCAGAGAGCCGAUUUCUCUGCUUUGCUUUGUCUGUUAGUACUCAUUUUGCUUUGCAACCAGAAACACAUUUCAGUUUGAAAUUGUACCCAGGCUGCACCCUCCCUCUCCGACGUUAGGGUGCACCCACUCUUCUCAGGCCCAAUCAGGCAGCGAUGUGCCUUGCAUCCAGACAAGGAGUAAAUAUCAUUCUGGAGCCCUCAGUGAAUAUCAUUCUGGAGUAAUAGCUUCUUCAUAAUAAGGACUUACAAGUAACUCAUUACCUCCUCACCAGCCAAAAAUACUCAUUUCUCCAGGGCACAUCUACAAGACGAGGAAACCAGAGAGGGGACAAAUCUCCCAGACCUGUGGGAGGGAAGAAAAGAGACAACCUGAGCUGGAAGUAACCCUGGGCCAAUCCUAAAACCACGUGCAGAUCCACGGAGGACUAAUGUGGAACUGAAUUUUUCUAUACUGAGCAAUGACUUGAGAUCACUGACCUAAGGUUUCUACCUCCACAAAGAGCAGUAUUUCAGCUCACUCUUCUUGGUGAUGAAUAAAUUGACUUCCAACUAUGAAUAAUCUGAAAAUAAGCAUUUUGUGGACUCUCACUGACCAUUGUUAAAUCGUGAUGAGCAGAAAGCCAACAGAAUUGAUGGGUCAGUAGGCUCAUCCAUUUACCUGAUAACCAGCCUUGGACCUGAAAUCCAACCUCAUGGUCAAAUAAUUCUGCUUGACGCCCCCAGUCUACAUAUUGACAUGUUUCUCUCCUGUAGCUGACAAGGUGUGUGCUAAAUAUUUGCAUGCAAAGAGUUGAUUCCAAAAUGCAUCUUUGUUGUCUUGUCCAACUUGGCUUUCUGGUUGCUAAUGCUGUUUUGUCUGCUGGGACUCCACACCCUGCCUGAUCAUUCUUUUAUGGUAACCUUUGCCCAGCUCAACCCACCACCACUGGCCUCUAUUCACAGGUCCCUCUCCCUACUCUAAUCCCCCACCGCCCUUGCCUCCAACUAAGAAGCCUUACAAACUUGCCAGAAUGUAUCAGCCUUGCCCCUGUGACCUCUCUUGGUCCACACUGUUCCAUUUUAGUCUAUAUUUUUAUUAUAUUUAAAGUAAAUUAUUUGAAUUUCUAACAAAUUUUUGAUAUUUUCUACUACAGUAAACUCUUCAAUAUUAUUUUCUUUUGAACUUGGUAAGCAAUCUUUUUAUUUUAUCUUUUGGCAUUAAUAUUACCUAACAGAAAAAUGCACAAUCAUAAGUCUACAGCUCAAUGAAUUUUUCACAAAGCAAACAUACCUGAUGUGUAGCCAGCAACCACAUUAAAAGAUAGAACAUUAUCAGUACCCUAGAAGCCCCUUUUGUAUCCCCUUCCAGCUAUGACCUCUCCCUAAAGGUAACCACUAUCUUGACUUGCCUGUUUUUUAACUUCAUGAAGAUGGAGUCAAACACUGUUACAGUUGUCAUGGAUGUGUGCCACUCAGAUGUCCCUUCAGGAGAAAACCUGCAGCAAACAGUGCAGUGAGCCCAUGGCCUUUAGCUAUUGCACUAUCGGGAUCCAUUGCAGAAUUCCACCAAAACCACACUCUUCCUAGGUUGCCCCCAGCCAAUGACUGGGCAUGGUAAAGGCACCAAAGCCAAGCUAUUGCCGGCCAACAUGGGAUCCCCCUGUGGGCAAUCUUUGCUCUAGGGAUCCCCAUCAGCUUGGCCAAGUCUUUCUCAGAGAUGUCCUCCAGUCUAAGAUGCCUCCUACCUAACCCUCCUUCCUCCUCCCUUCUUCUUCCCCACUCUCCUUUCAUAGGUGUCUGACUGGUAUUGCUGCAUGAUGGCUCUCCCUGCCUGUAUCUACUUCCUCUCUCCGUUAUUUUUUGUAAGGUAUCUCUUGGCCUUCAAUUAUCUAUUGGUGUCUGCUUGCUAGAAGAGCUGCACUGAGCCAAGUUUUGUGUGUCUGGCUUCUUUCGCUUAAACUUAAAUAUGUUGGAUUCACCUAUGAGCAAUCCUUUUAUUAAAAAGUCUAAUUAUGCACCAAUAAGGCUAUUAAAAGUAUAUUUAUAUAUGUUAAAAUUUUAGAACUUACUGUAGACUCUUUUUCAUCCUUGUGAUUCAUCUACUCUCCCAACCACCAGCCUCCUUGAGCCUCAGUCAAAGAUCUAGCAGCCUGCAGUACAUGUCUGAUAAGAACACAGCCCAGAACCAGCUCAAAACUAUCAACAGCUCAUUAUUCAUAUAACAAACAUUAAUACCUACACUGUUCCGGGCAUCGGGAGGGACGUGCCUUGGCAUGCCAAAUAACUUCCAGAUUUAGUAGCCUGGAUAUAGACGACCCUAUGAUGUGGUUCCAGUCUGCCUUUUUGGGUGCAUCUUCACGUACCCCAUAAUCACUCUUGAAGGUGUGUGUUCCUUCAUUCCAGAGAUUCCUUAGGGCUUCCCACUUGUGCAGGACCAAACUUCAAGGCAGGUCUGGGCAAGACUGGAGUCCCUCCCUGAUUGUACCCACAAAGUCAGAGUCAAGCUUUGACUUCAGCCUUCACACAGCAUUUGUGAUGCUGGUAAUUAAUACUGGAGAAAGGCCUUGGCUAUAGUGGGGAAAGCACUCGGCUGAGAACUUAGAGUUCAAGACUCUGUUCUUCCACUUACUCUUUGUGAUAUGAAUGAGUCACUUAAUCUUUCUG
RNAcentral lists this long non-coding RNA (3000 nucleotides) under Homo sapiens (human). RNAcentral describes it as "HSALNT0045721". Lineage: Eukaryota; Metazoa; Chordata; Mammalia; Primates; Hominidae. The record is from RNAcentral.